RNAcentral lists this ribosomal RNA (253 nucleotides) under uncultured bacterium. RNAcentral describes it as "partial 16S ribosomal RNA". It matches the Rfam family "Bacterial small subunit ribosomal RNA", at positions 524 to 776 of the family's 1533-position model. The record is from RNAcentral.
UACGAACUGUGCGAACGUUAUUCGGAAUCACUGGGCUUACAGGGUGCGUAGGCUGCGAUGCAAGUCAGGUGUGAAAGCCCACAGCUCAACUGUGGAAUUGCGCUUGAAACUGCAUUGCUUGAGUGAGCUAGAGGUACACGGAACUUCCGGUGGAGCGGUGAAAUGUGUUGAUAUCGGAAGGAACACCAGAGGCGAAAGCGGUGUACUGGAGCUUGUCUGACGCUGAGGCACGAAAGCCAGGGGAGCAAACGGG